This 395-nucleotide transfer-messenger RNA is filed under the name Actinomycetota bacterium. It matches the Rfam family "transfer-messenger RNA". From Rfam's summary of the family: Bacterial tmRNA, also known as 10Sa RNA or SsrA, is named for its dual tRNA and mRNA-like properties. The record is from RNAcentral. Lineage: Bacteria; Bacillati; Actinomycetota.
GGGGCUGACUGGUUUCGACGUCAGUAACGCUGGCCGGGUCAGCGACCCGAGUUGCUCAGACUCGCUAAACGGGGCACAACCAAGAAUUGCCGAUGAGCAGUUCGCUCUCGCAGCCUGACCUAGUCAGGUAACCGAGAGUCAUCGUGAGCAGCAAUGUCGCACGGGGCCACUCCAUCGCAGCCCGGCAACAGAAGCGGGGGAUGACAGCGGGAAAGUCCGCUGGCAGCUGGAAAGACAGCUGACACCCGGCAAAGACCGGGCGUUGACCGGCGGCCCUUGGGCCACCGCUCAUCCGACCCGCCGGUGAGGCAGCGUCAGCCUCGAUGUCGGGAAUGGUCGUAGCAGGCUCGUCCACCGGCUGAUGGACGGGGGUUCGAUUCCCCCCAGCUCCACCA